Molecule: non-coding RNA, 29 nt
Filed under: Homo sapiens (human)
Lineage: Eukaryota; Metazoa; Chordata; Mammalia; Primates; Hominidae
Source: RNAcentral
UGCCGGUGUCGGGGUGGACUUGCUUCAGC